RNAcentral lists this ribosomal RNA (299 nucleotides) under uncultured bacterium. RNAcentral's name for it is "partial 16S ribosomal RNA". It matches the Rfam family "Bacterial small subunit ribosomal RNA", at positions 475 to 776 of the family's 1533-position model. The record is from RNAcentral.
CUAUGCGCCUUGCCAGCCCGCUCAGGUGUGCCAGCCGCCGCGGUAAUACGGAGGGGGCGAGCGUUGUUCGGAGUGACUGGGCGUAAAGAGCACGUAGGCGGUGUUGUAAGUCAUUAGUCAAAGACUAGAGCUCAACUUUAGUAAGGCUAGUGAUACUAUAAUACUAGGGUAUCAGAGAGGAUUGCAGAAUUCCUGGUGUAGCGGUGAAAUGCGUAGAUAUCAGGAGGAAUACCGUUAGCGAAGGCGGCAAUCUGGCUGGAAACUGACGCUGAGGUGCGAAAGCGUGGGUAGCAAACAGG